GAUGGUCGAAUUUCGAAGUAUUUUUUACUUAGAAAUUCGACCCUUGAUAAAUCUGCCCCUAAAUGUUAUUUUUGGUUCUAUUACCAAAACAGGAGAUUGGGCAACAAUGGCUCAACCUGUCCCAUACUAUCUCAUACAAUGUAUUAUAAUGCCUGUAACACCAAAUACAACUUGUUUAGCCAAAAGUUUGAGAAGUUUUAAUGUGGCAAUGCCUGCCAAUGUGUGGCAAAUUGGAAUGCUUUUUUUUUUUAAACAGCAUAAUCAAUAGACCGUCUGUGUUUGAUUGCUGUGGCUUGUGGCAAUGGUCAGAAUGCAACUACCUACCCUGGAUUGCUUCCCAUGCUGUUUAUUGAUUCUAAUGCUAGAGGAAUUGUGGCCCUUUCCUUUAUGAAGAAGCACUGAUAGAUAAUAUUCCUUGAUAUGCCCAAAAAAAGUAUAUGGUUUAUAAUGAUUUUGAUUAGAUACAUCCUACUAUUUUCCUACCGGCUUUUUCUAUAAUUGAUCAUGUCACCACUGAUGUCAUAAUGGUCACUCCAGAUAAACAACUUGCUUACUCAAUGCGUGAUCAUGUGACCACUGAUGUCAUAAUGCUUGCUCCAGAUAAACAAUAGCUGAUAUCUGUUAGUUGUGUCAGUGUGAGAGAGGAAGCUGAAGAGUGCAGAUGUGCAGUUGUGUCAGUGUGAGAGAGGAAGCUGAAGAGUGCAGAUGUGCAGGCUGUUUGAGGAGCAUCUGUAAAGAAAAUUGAGAACAGUGAGGAAUGGUAUUGGCAAGGAAAGAUGUUUAUGUGUGUCAGAACACCCACGCAUACCCCCCGGGAUGAAGUAUUCAACUGCAGGAAUAUCUGUCCAGCAAAAUCAUUCCUAUUUAGUAACGUUAGUGGUGGUAGCAGGUUUAUGAUAGUAAAGUUUAUGAUGUAGUUGUUGUUAGUGUUUUUUAUGCAUAAACUGUAGGUAUGUUUAUUCUUUAUAUAUAGAGCAUUAGCGCAUAGAGGUGUAGUAACUGAAUGGAUUUUUUAUGGGUCACUUUAUACCCUUGGAGGGGGUAAUACUGCUGAACUGUGUAGAUGAGGCUUCUGUACCUUGUUUGAUCUUGCAGUUCUGGAUUUCUGUUGAUGUAAUACAUAUUAUCUGUGGUGUUUAUAUCUUUCUUUAUAUAUAUUUUAAUAGUUUGCAGAAUUUUUAAUAGUUUGUAGUAUUCUCCUGUUGCAGCCUAUAAUGUGU
Xenopus laevis (African clawed frog) is the source of this 1220-nucleotide long non-coding RNA. RefSeq lists it as uncharacterized. The record is from RefSeq and is a predicted model, not a curated record. Lineage: Eukaryota; Metazoa; Chordata; Amphibia; Anura; Pipidae. The transcript is spliced from 3 exons.